This 85-nucleotide transfer RNA is filed under the name Felis catus (domestic cat). It matches the Rfam family "tRNA". From Rfam's summary of the family: Transfer RNA (tRNA) molecules are approximately 80 nucleotides in length. Their secondary structure includes four short double-helical elements and three loops (D, anti-codon, and T loops). Further hydrogen bonds mediate the characteristic L-shaped molecular structure. tRNAs have two regions of fundamental functional importance: the anti-codon, which is responsible for specific mRNA codon recognition, and the 3' end, to which the tRNAs corresponding amino acid is attached (by aminoacyl-tRNA synthetases). tRNAs cope with the degeneracy of the genetic code in two manners: having more than one tRNA (with a specific anti-codon) for a particular amino acid; and 'wobble' base-pairing, i.e. permitting non-standard base-pairing at the 3rd anti-codon position. The record is from Rfam by way of RNAcentral. Lineage: Eukaryota; Metazoa; Chordata; Mammalia; Carnivora; Felidae.
ACCUGGGUGGCUCAGUUGGUUGAGCAUCUGACUUCGACUCAGGUCAUGAUCUCACAGUUUGUGAGUUCAAGCCCCACAUCAGGCU